CAAGUCGAACGGCAGCGCGGGGCAACCUGGCGGCGAGUGGCGAACGGGUGAGUAAUAUAUCGGAACGUACCCUGGAGUGGGGGAUAACGUAGCGAAGGUUACGCUAAUACCGCAUACGAUCUAAGGAUGAAAGCAGGGGACCGCAAGGCCUUGUGCUCCUGGAGCGGCCGAUAUCUGAUUAGCUAGUUGGUGGGGUAAAGGCCUACCAAGGCAUCGAUCAGUAGCUGGUCUGAGAGGACGACCAGCCACACUGGAACUGAGACACGGUCCAGACUCCUACGGGAGGCAGCAGUGGGGAAUUUUGGACAAUGGGCGCAAGCCUGAUCCAGCAAUGCCGCGUGAGUGAAGAAGGCCUUCGGGUUGUAAAGCUCUUUUGUCAGGGAAGAAACGGUGGGGGCUAAUAUCCUCUGCUAAUGACGGUACCUGAAGAAUAAGCACCGGCUAACUACGUGCCAGCAGCCGCGGUAAUACGUAGGGUGCAAGCGUUAAUCGGAAUUACUGGGCGUAAAGCGUGCGCAGGCGGUUUUGUAAGUCUGUCGUGAAAUCCCCGGGCUCAACCUGGGAAUUGCGAUGGAGACUGCAAGGCUAGAAUCUGGCAGAGGGGGGUAGAAUUCCACGUGUAGCAGUGAAAUGCGUAGAGAUGUGGAGGAACACCGAUGGCGAAGGCAGCCCCCUGGGUCAAGAUUGACGCUCAUGCACGAAAGCGUGGGGAGCAAACAGGAUUAGAUACCCUGGUAGUCCACGCCCUAAACGAUGUCUACUAGUUGUCGGGUUUUAAUUAACUUGGUAACGCAGCUAACGCGUGAAGU
This 809-nucleotide ribosomal RNA is filed under the name uncultured Janthinobacterium sp. RNAcentral's name for it is "bacterial SSU rRNA". It matches the Rfam family "Bacterial small subunit ribosomal RNA", at positions 58 to 865 of the family's 1533-position model. The record is from RNAcentral. Lineage: Bacteria; Pseudomonadati; Pseudomonadota; Betaproteobacteria; Burkholderiales; Oxalobacteraceae.